Long non-coding RNA from Phyllostomus hastatus (greater spear-nosed bat), 1069 nucleotides. RefSeq lists it as uncharacterized. Lineage: Eukaryota; Metazoa; Chordata; Mammalia; Chiroptera; Phyllostomidae. The transcript is spliced from 2 exons. The record is from RefSeq and is a predicted model, not a curated record.
CUGGGAAAGGAGGAAGUUUGGUAUUUUUGCAGUUGCAGAAUGACCUUGUUUUAUCCGUGUUUAGGCAAGAUUAUGAAGUGAUCUUGUCUGUGGUCGCACUCCAUCAGGAUCACAGUGUGACUUUGUCUUAUGCAGGGGUUGUGUCAGGUUGUUAUGUUUUAUAGGGACACACCAUAGAUAGUUCCUAACAACACCAGCCAUAAGGGUGUCAUUCAGCUCCCCAUUCCAGCUGCUGCUUUUCUUUUUCUUACAUUGAACAAAUAUGACUUGAGUAGACAGGUGCUGAGGCUUCUGGGGAAAAUGAGGCAGAGAAAGUGUGUCUUAAACCUUCCAGGAGGAGAAACAAGAGAGAUACAAACUGACUUCAGAAGGUGUACUGUGUGAGAACUUCCUUAAGUUCUAGUUCUUCCCAGAGACCCUCCCGACUGAUGACGUUUGCUCAGAGUUCCAGUUUGUCUUUACCACUAGCUUCUCCUGAAUUCAGACAGUCUGUUUACUCUCUCCAGAGUAUACCAGUGAACUGCUGAUGUGCUCAGGUGAGGAUGGACCUAUUGGUGGGGCUACAGCAGACCAGGGGUGGAGACCUGGGGAUCUGCUUGUUUCUUAGAAAGGCCUUUAAAUGAUUCUUCUGUAUUUACUCCUGAACCUUUGGAGCGUUCUAUGGGAGUAAACUGAGUUGGCUUUUUGGCUUUCUUCAUGAUUGGUCUAGGAUUCAGCUUGUUUAAAUCUGCUGUCAAGUAUCGCCUGCCCAUUUGCUUUAUAAGUUCUGUAAUUUUGUUGCCACUGUUAUUUCACUUACUGUUUUUGUUCUCCUGGGGCUUAAAAGAUCUCCUUACUGUUAUACUAGUGGGUCUUAAGUAGAGAGAGAAUGUAAACGUGUUUAAUUUGCCAUCUCUUGUUGUUAUUGGUUUACACACAUGUUCAUUAAAUGAUGGAAUGACCAAAUGCUGGGCAUCUGCAUGCUUUGUUCAUGUGCUAAGCCUUGUGUUAUCUUUAUACUCAUGUUGGUGUUUGAUGAGAAAUAUAAGUGACUCCCUAGAGUUAAUAGCUAAUAAAUGCGUUUUCCUUA